RNAcentral lists this Y RNA (108 nucleotides) under Carlito syrichta (Philippine tarsier). RNAcentral's name for it is "Y RNA (ENSTSYG00000023111.2)". It matches the Rfam family "Y RNA". Rfam says of the family: Y RNAs are components of the Ro ribonucleoprotein particle (Ro RNP), in association with Ro60 and La proteins. Lineage: Eukaryota; Metazoa; Chordata; Mammalia; Primates; Tarsiidae. The record is from Rfam by way of RNAcentral.
GGCUGAUCCGAAGGUGAUGAGUUAUCUCGAUUUUUCACAGUCAGUUACAGAUCAAACUCCUUGUUCUACUCUUUGCCCUUCUCACUACUGCACUUGACUCAGCUUAAA